Numida meleagris (helmeted guineafowl) is the source of this 1248-nucleotide long non-coding RNA. RefSeq lists it as uncharacterized. The transcript has 4 exons. Lineage: Eukaryota; Metazoa; Chordata; Aves; Galliformes; Numididae. The record is from RefSeq and is a predicted model, not a curated record.
GUGGGAGUGACAAGAGUUAAAUAGGAAGGGGGUGAUGGCUGUAGUGUUUUUUUUUUUUUUUUUCUAUCCCUUCCUGUUUGUAGCUGGGAUGUGUUCCCCCAGUUGAGUAGCUAUGUGCUGGAAAGCUGAGAUAUUUCUCUGUAACACAUUGACAGGUUAGGUGCAAUCCUUCAUAUUGUCUCUGGAGAUGAUGCUGGUUCCCUGCCCUUUGCUGAUGUGAGAGCUGUGGGGAGGUGGCUGUCCAGGGCUGAGCUGGCAGGAAAACACAGCCCUCUCCAAGGUCCCCAGCAGAGCAGGGUGGACAGCAGCACGGUGUUCGACAGAGACCUGAGAGCCUUGAUGUGCCGCUGGCAGAUUUAUGCCUCGUUGAAACCCACCUCUUAUUGCCUCUGAGUUGAUUGGGAGGAAGGAAUCUUGUUCGCUGGAAAAGAAACCCACUGCAAUGUGCCAUGCAUGCCAAGUCAGGGUGGGAGCUUAAAAGAAGAAUUUGGAGCCCUGACCUCUUUUCCUCGUCCGCUGCUCAUCUUCUGUCACUGUGUCAGCUGGGACAGCCUGUCAGGAAGCUUCAUACACUUUGGGUCAGACGCUCUUUCCCUGAAGAGGAGAAGAAUAUUUAUAGCCAGGAAGGGCUGUAAUGGGGAGAUCUCUAGGCUGCUCUACCUGUCAGAUAAGGUUUCUUAUGGACCCGAUGGUAACAGCCCACGUGCAGUCUGCUACAACAGAAGAGAAGGUGGGGUCUGGGUUUGGGGCACCAGGGCGUUCCCAGCCCAGGUAAUUUGGCUGAGGUCCUGGAAAGUGGAGGUAGGCUGGCACUUUGGGGAACAUACUACCUCUGUGGCUUGCUGUGCUUUGUUGCCCUUCUGAAAUUUGGGGAGUGCCGGGUCACUACUAGAGGGAUUGACCCCGGGGGUGGCCCUGCUGCAAGUUCUCACGAUCCCUGCGAUGGAAAGUGACAAAUCCCAUACACUGAGAGCCCUCUGACGUAGUGUUCCUGCCAUCUGCCCGCCCCGGCGGAUGCUAACAAGCUAGUAGAUCUAGACCCGCUGUGCCUUGAUACAAAGAUUUAUUUUUAGGGCUUUGAUAUUUAGAAUGAUCUGUUAUAAUUUCAUGCUUAAAUAGCACUAAAUAAUGUUCCCUGUUUGCACAGUGUAAUUGGAAGAGGUGAAUAAACCAAACAAACCGGCGAUGACUGAGCUUCCUUAGUAUUUUCAAACUGAAACAAACAGUAAAAAACAAGGGCUUGGCCAA